RNAcentral lists this ribosomal RNA (481 nucleotides) under uncultured bacterium. RNAcentral's name for it is "partial 16S ribosomal RNA". It matches the Rfam family "Bacterial small subunit ribosomal RNA", at positions 30 to 507 of the family's 1533-position model. The record is from RNAcentral.
AUUGAACGCUGGCGGCAUGCCUUACACAUGCAAAUCGAACGGUAACGGGCCUUCGGUGCCGACGAGUGGCGAACGGGUGAGUAAUACAUCGGAACGUGCCCGAUCGUGGGGGAUAACGAGGCGAAAGCUUUGCUAAUACCGCAUACGAUCUACGGAUGAAAGCAGGGGACCGCAAGGCCUUGCGCGGACGGAGCGGCCGAUGGCAGAUUAGGUAGUUGGUGGGAUAAAAGCUUACCAAGCCGACGAUCUGUAGCUGGUCUGAGAGGAUGAUCAGCCACACUGGGACUGAGACACGGCCCAGACUCCUACGGGAGGCAGCAGUGGGGAAUUUUGGACAAUGGGCGCAAGCCUGAUCCAGCCAUGCCGCGUGCAGGAUGAAGGCCUUCGGGUUGUAAACUGAUUUUGUACGGAACGAAAAGCCUUCUUUUAAUACAGGAGGGUCAUGACGGUACCGUAAGAAUAAGCACCGGCUAACUACGUG